This 97-nucleotide unclassified non-coding RNA is filed under the name Epilithonimonas pallida. Its description in RNAcentral is "Flavo-1 RNA". Lineage: Bacteria; Pseudomonadati; Bacteroidota; Flavobacteriia; Flavobacteriales; Weeksellaceae. The record is from RNAcentral.
UCGCAGCCCGGCUUGAGUGGAGCUCUUUUUGCAAAUUUGGUAUGGGAAAAAGCGUUGGCAAAUUUGCAAAAAAGCGGGAACGGAAGACGGAUUAAGC